GUCUUUCACAGCUAGUCCUUGCGUCUGGCUGGAUUAGUUUAGCAUUUGGUUACAUUCACGCCAUGGCUUGUGUAUAUAAUAUCACCCUUUUGUAAAUAGUUUAUUUAGGUGAUUGAUCACAGCUGGCCUUUGUGUUUUGCGGGGCUUCUGAUGUCCCGGGCAACGUCUGGCACCUGGACCUUCUUAGAUUGUAGAUUUUAUUUUUUGUUUCUUUAUGACGGGCCACAGUGGGCGUAAUUCUCCCGUCACUCUCGUAAACAGGGAAGUAUGUUUAGGUAUAGUUAGGUUGUUAAGAGUUUAGAGAUUACGUUUUUAUUCCCAGCAUGUUUGAGACACAAGAGACAUCAGCAGAGGAUGAAGACGAAGGACGACUUCUAUCAAUCAAAACCAUUGUUCCACAAUCAGCCCCAGGAGGAGACGCCAGCAGAGGAAAGAAACAAUAUUAACCAAAACAAUAAUCCACUGAUGGAGAACAAGGAAGAUGGAAGAGUACCAUCAUCUACCAAUGGAGGAGGAGGAGGAGAAAAUUGCGGGAGCACCAGCAUCUAAAAGUGUCCCACAAUCAGCCUCAGGAGGAGAUAUCAGCAGAGGAAAGAAAGACUAUUAACCAAAACAAUGUAAGUAAAACUUCUCAUUUACACAGAAAGACACUCACAUGUUUAAUGUAUAAAUAGACGUCACGUUUUACUAACACCUGUAAAAUGUUGGAGAGGAACGCCAACAUCCACUGAUGGAGGAGGAGAAGAAAGAUGGAGGACGGGAGUGCCAGCAUCUACCAAUGGAGGAGAAGAAAUACUGUUAUUAACCAAAACAAUGUAAGUAAAACCUCUCAUUUACACAGAAAGACACUGAUCACAUAUUUAAUGU
RNAcentral lists this long non-coding RNA (867 nucleotides) under Gouania willdenowi (blunt-snouted clingfish). Its description in RNAcentral is "lncRNA (ENSGWIG00000004491.1)". The record is from RNAcentral. Lineage: Eukaryota; Metazoa; Chordata; Actinopteri; Blenniiformes; Gobiesocidae.